This 407-nucleotide ribosomal RNA is filed under the name uncultured bacterium. RNAcentral describes it as "partial 16S ribosomal RNA". It matches the Rfam family "Bacterial small subunit ribosomal RNA", at positions 29 to 526 of the family's 1533-position model. The record is from RNAcentral.
AUUGAACGCUGGCGGCAGGCCUAACACAUGCAAGUCGAGCGGAGCGGCGGACGGGUGAGUAAUGCCUGGGAAUCUGCCUGGUAGUGGGGGAUAACGUCCGGAAACGGGCGCUAAUACCGCAUACUAUCAGAUGAGCCUAGGUCGGAUUAGCUAGUUGGUGGGGUAAAGGCCUACCAAGGCGACGAUCCGUAACUGGUCUGAGAGGAUGAUCAGUCACACUGGAACUGAGACACGGGCCAGACGACGACGGUAGGCAGCAGUGGGGAAGAGUGGACAAUGGGGGAAAGCCUGAGCAAGCCAUGCGGCGUGUGUGAAGAAGGUCGUCGGAGUGGAAAGCACUUUAAGUGGGGAGGCGGUACCAACAGAAUAAGCACCGGCUAACUUCGUGCCAGCAGCCGCGGUAAUAC